RNAcentral lists this ribosomal RNA (860 nucleotides) under uncultured Rhodospirillaceae bacterium. Its description in RNAcentral is "bacterial SSU rRNA". It matches the Rfam family "Bacterial small subunit ribosomal RNA", at positions 8 to 914 of the family's 1533-position model. The record is from RNAcentral. Lineage: Bacteria; Pseudomonadati; Pseudomonadota; Alphaproteobacteria; Rhodospirillales; Rhodospirillaceae.
AGAGUUUGAUCGUGGCUCAGAACGAACGCUGGCGGCAUGCCUAACACAUGCAAGUCGAACGAAGGCUUCAGCCUUAGUGGCGCACGGGUGCGUAACGCGUGGGAAUCUGCCCUUAGGUACGGAAUAACUCAGGGAAACUUGAGCUAAUACCGUAUAAUGACUCCGGUCCAAAGAUUUAUCGCCUAAGGAUGAGCCCGCGUCGGAUUAGCUAGUUGGUGAGGUAAAGGCUCACCAAGGCGACGAUCCGUAGCUGGUCUGAGAGGAUGACCAGCCACACUGGGACUGAGACACGGCCCAGACUCCUACGGGAGGCAGCAGUGGGGAAUAUUGGACAAUGGGCGAAAGCCUGAUCCAGCAAUGCCGCGUGAGUGAUGAAGGCCUUAGGGUUGUAAAGCUCUUUUACCCGGGAUGAUAAUGACAGUACCGGGAGAAUAAGCCCCGGCUAACUAAGCACCGUGCCAGCAGCCGCGGUAAUACGGAGGGGGCUAGCUGUUCGGAAUUACUGGGCGUAAAGCGCACGUAGGCGGCUUUGUAAGUUAGAGGUGAAAGCCCGGGGCUCAACUCCGGAAUUGCCUUUAAGACUGCAUCGCUAGAAUUGUGGAGAGGUAAGUGGAAUUCCGAGUGUGGAGGUGAAAUUCGUAGAUAUUCGGAAGAACACCAGUGGCGAAGGCGACUUACUGGACACAUAUUGUCGCUGAGGUGCGAAAGCGUGGGGAAACAGGAUUAGAUACCCUGGUAGUCCACGCCGUAAACGAUGAUAACUAGCUGUCGGGGCGCUUAGCGUUCCGGUGGCGCAGCUAACGCGUUAAGUCAUCCGCCUGGGGAGUACGGCCGCAAGGUUAAUACUCAAAGGAAUUGAC